UUUCUUUUUUUUCAUUGAAAGAAAAAUCUAUCGGUUGUAAACAUAAACAUAUGUCUCGUCAGACAUUAAUAGAGACAUUUUCCAAAAAUGCUGCUUCAAAUACAGCUGCAAGUGAAAAAGAAACAGAACUGAACGUGCCUGAAGAUCCACAAGAUGUCAAAACUACAAAGCCUUCAACAACUCAGUAAGCUGAAAGUGCAGAUUCGAGUAAUUGUGUUGUGGCAGAUUCCAACCCCUCUGGAGAAUUUAGAACUGGCUGGAUCCCUGUGUUGUGCUGUUUACUGCACUUCUCCUCAGGUGUCGUGGGCUAGUUGAUGAAACACAAAGGAUAGAAGUUGCC
This is a long non-coding RNA of Polyodon spathula (Mississippi paddlefish), 340 nucleotides long. RefSeq lists it as uncharacterized. The transcript has 3 exons. The record is from RefSeq and is a predicted model, not a curated record. Lineage: Eukaryota; Metazoa; Chordata; Actinopteri; Acipenseriformes; Polyodontidae.